Molecule: ribosomal RNA, 1988 nt
Filed under: Fictibacillus barbaricus
Lineage: Bacteria; Bacillati; Bacillota; Bacilli; Caryophanales; Fictibacillaceae
Description: 23S ribosomal RNA
Rfam family: Bacterial large subunit ribosomal RNA
Source: RNAcentral
AAAUCUGUUUGAAUAUAGGGGAACCUUCCUCUAAGGCUAAAUAUGAUAUAUAAGCGAUAGUGAAAAGUACCGUGAGGUAAAAUUUGAAAUAGUAGUUUUAUAAGCAGCUCGAGUGAAAAUUUAAAUAAGUAAUAAGAGUGUACCUUUUGCAUAAUGGGUCAGCAAGUUAAUUUUAGAUGCAAGCAAUGAUUUCGUGCGCUUUGCGCAUGGAACUAGCUUAGAUAAACCAAUUAUGAGAAAAUGAAUAAGUAUCUAGAAUUAGACCCGAAGGCUAGUGAUCUUACCAUGGUCAGGAUUAUAAAAGUCCGAACGGGUUAUCGUUGUAUAGAUAUCCGAAGAAUUGUGGUAAGUUAGUGAAAGACAAAACUGACUAGUAUAGCUGGUUUUCCGCGAAACCUAUAUGAGUAGGUAAUUUAACUAACAUCUUAGCAGGUACAGAACUGUGAUCUCGGACAAUAUCUUUUGAUUUUGUCAACAUCGGGGGGUUGUAGUGACUUUACCGGAGAGUAUUUGCACUCGGAAUGGCAAAGAUGAAUGUUGAAUAAUCGGACAUAGUGCGAUAAGGUUGUAUGUCUAAAGGGAAACAGCCCAGAACAAGAGUUAAGGUUCCAAAAUUAUUGUUGAGUGAAAUUAAGGAUGUUUUUUUUAAAAACAAUCAGGAAAUAGGCUUAGAAGCGGCCAUUUUUUGAAGACCUCGUAACAGAGCACUGAUUAAUUAAAUUUAGAAAAAAACACCGAAAAUUUAACGGAUCUAAACAAUAUACCGAAACCUUGUACACAUAUUUAUAAUAUUAAUAUUGUAUAUGUGGGGUAGCGGAACAUUGGAUAAAUAUUAAUUAUUAUUUCUUCUAAGAAGUAAUAAGUAUGGAUUAUUAUUAAAAAUAUUUAUUUAUUAAAGAUAUUUAUGUAAUAUUAUUAUACCUAAAAGGUAUAAUGUUUAGAUGAAUAUAUAGAUAGAUUAUAUCUGUCUUUAUUAUUAAUAUAAUCCAUCGAUAUAAUCCAAGAGAGAAUGCUGACAUGAGUAACGAAAAAGGAAUAUCCUCGCCUUAAGCUUAUGGUAUUAUAUUUAAUUUUCGGUAUCUAAAAGUAUUAAUCAAAAGGUAAUUUUGAUGAUAUUUAUAUAUAAAUACUUAAAAAUAAAAAACAAAACCUUUAACAAGUAAUAAAGGUUCUGGAAAAUUUUUUAUUUUUAUUAAGUGAAGUAUAAUGCAAUAUAGGUAUAUUAUAAUUUAUAUAAUUUUCUUGUUACAAGUUUUCAAGAUUGUAUAGAUUUUAUCUAUAUUAAAUAUAUUUUCUUUUUUAUACUAUUGUAUAAGUAAGGUUUAUAUAUACCGUACCUAGAUACUAUCACAAGUAAGCAAGUAGAGAAUACAAAGGCGUUUGAGUGAACAAUCAUUAAGGAACUCGGCAAAUUGACUACCGUAACUUCGGGAUAAGGAGGGCCAUUAUGAUUAGUUUAACAUAUCUUAUGAUAUGAUUUAAUUAAACUAAUCAUAAGAGGAAACAUGAAAUAAUGUUGUACGACUGUUUAAUAAAAACACAGCACUCUGCAAAGAUAAAAUAUCAAAGUAUUGAGUGUGAUGUCUGCCCAAUGUCGGCUGGGUAACGGAUUUACCUUGGUUUUUAACUGAGGUUUUGAAGGAUACCCCGAUUAAUGGCGGCCUUACCUAUGAGGGUCCUAAGGUAGCGAAAUACCUUGGCCGUUAAAUGCGGUCCUGCAUGAAUGACUUAACGAUACAACAGCUGUCUCGAUGAUUGUCUCAGUGAAAUUGGAAUAGCAGUGCAGAUACUGUUUACCUCUAGAUAGACGAGAAGACCCUAUGCAGCUUUACUGUUACUAAUUGCAAGAGUGGAAAUUUAGGAUGAUUUCGAGUGUAUAAGGUAGUUGUUUGAUAACAAUGAAACACCUUUAUUCGUUUCCUACUAUAUGCUCUUGAGGAUUGGGAGGCAGUUUAUGCGGGGCACAGAUCCCACAAAAAGUACCUGGG